RNAcentral lists this ribosomal RNA (312 nucleotides) under uncultured bacterium. RNAcentral describes it as "bacterial SSU rRNA". It matches the Rfam family "Bacterial small subunit ribosomal RNA", at positions 30 to 334 of the family's 1533-position model. The record is from RNAcentral.
AUUGAACGCUGGCGGUAUGCUUAACACAUGCAAGUCGAACGGCAGCAUAGAGAAGCUUGCUUCUCUGAUGGCGAGUGGCGGACGGGUGAGUAAUGCGUAGGAAUCUGCCUAGAGGAUUGGGAUAGCCUGUGGAAACGCAGGAUAAUACCGAAUAAGCCCUACGGGGGAAAGCAGGGGACCAGUAAUGGCCUUGCGUCUUUAGAUGAGCCUACGUCGGAUUAGUUUGUUGGUGGGGUAAAGGCCUACCAAGACUACGAUCCGUAGCCGUUCUGAGAGGAAGAUCAGCCACACUGGGACUGAGACACGGCCCAG